UUUGUCCUCUUCUUCCUUGUGUGCUCGCCAUCAUUGGAGGAGAGGAGAGGAGAGGAGAGCUAACUAGGCAACAUAAAAGGUUCACACUCGAGAUUGUUGUCAUUGAUAACAAAUUUUUUUAUUUGUUUACAGUUCUCACACUCGAGAUUGCUACAUAAAGGAGAGAACCAGGAGGAGCACUUACACAACUUUUGUAUCCAAUUAGGCCAGAAGAAUAAUAAUAGUGGCAUGAUGUUCGUCAUAAGAGACAAAGUAAGUAGCCUGUGAGGUUGGAUUAUAUCAGCACACCAUGAAAAUGGACCAGAACAUUCAGAGGCACAUUUUGACCCAUGAAAGAUGCAAAAGUUGAGCAAAGCUGCCUGAGACGUAACUUUCAACACCAACCAUAAGUACGUAAGCCAUUUGCCAUUGCGAGACGAGGGAAAAGCAAACCAAAGACAAUCAGAUAAAUCUCAACGUGGGCCAACCCAAACAUUUGACUUAUGGGCUUGUCAGGUGGUGAUCAGGACUUUCCAGCUGUAACUAUUCAUUUUAAUUCACCUGCUCCUGUAGAAGAAGAAGCUUACACAGGUUCCAUUGUAUUUUCUAUAUUUGUAUUUAUUUAUAUCCUUCUUACUUAGUGCUUAUCAAAUGCUUUAAAUAUUAAGUAAAGGUGAGUUGUACCAAUUCGUAGAAUAGUUUAUCCGUGCUUUUAUUUCCGAGUUCGAAUUCUCCUCUUCUGUAAUAUGAU
Long non-coding RNA from Prunus mume (Japanese apricot), 730 nucleotides. RefSeq lists it as uncharacterized. The record is from RefSeq and is a predicted model, not a curated record. Lineage: Eukaryota; Viridiplantae; Streptophyta; Magnoliopsida; Rosales; Rosaceae.